This 305-nucleotide ribosomal RNA is filed under the name uncultured bacterium. Its description in RNAcentral is "bacterial SSU rRNA". It matches the Rfam family "Bacterial small subunit ribosomal RNA", at positions 333 to 655 of the family's 1533-position model. The record is from RNAcentral.
UUGUUCCUACGGGACGCAGCAGUGGGGAAUAUUGCACAAUGGGGGAAACCCUGAUGCAGCGACGCCGCGUGGAGGAAGAAGGUCUUCGGAUUGUAAACUCCUGUCCUUGGGGACGAUAAUGACGGUACCCAAGGAGGAAGCACCGGCUAACUACGUGCCAGCAGCCGCGGUAAAACGUAGGGUGCAAGCGUUGUCCGGAAUUACUGGGUGUAAAGGGAGCGCAGGCGGAUUGACAAGUUGGGAGUGAAAGCUACGGGCCCAACCCGUAACCUGCUUUCAAAACUGUCAGUCUUGAGUGGUGUAGG